Molecule: long non-coding RNA, 616 nt
Organism: Quercus robur (English oak)
Lineage: Eukaryota; Viridiplantae; Streptophyta; Magnoliopsida; Fagales; Fagaceae
Exons: 2
Source: RefSeq, a predicted model, not a curated record
AAUUUCCCCCAUGUUGUCCCCCUUUCACUCCAUCACCACGAAAUAACAACAUAUGGCCUGCACGAAGUGAACCACAAUCAGUAUCCGUGUGGUUCGUGCUGGGGUGGAUCUUGGCUCUAAUAAUAGGAAUUAGCUUAAUCGCAUGGACGAUUUACAUUUGCCGCCUAAAAAUAAUAGGGCCGAAAGGGGACAAAGGGGACCAAGGGGAACAAGGGAAGCAAGGGCCUAAAGGGGACAAAGGGGACAAAGGGGACAAAGGUGACAAAGGCGAGAAGGGGCCGCCAGGGGAGAAGGGGCCGAAAGGGGAGAAAGGGGAUCCAGGCUGCAAGUGCCGCCACGGCUGCGGCGAGUGCAAUUGUUAGCUACAAGGAAAAGAUAACAUGGCCUUGGUAACUGACGGGCAUGUGCGAAUCUUGUGGAAUCAGCCAUCAUCUAAUAACAAAGACUGAUGUCAAAGUUUUGAAUUGAAUAUUGCAAAUGUUAUAUUCAAUCGUGGGUUUGCUGUGAGCUUUGAACAUUGGUUUUGAUGUGAUGUACUUGUAUGGUUUGGAAUAGUUGUUUUAAUUUGGAAUUAUAAUAUUUUGGCUUAUAAAUAAGGUUAGUGGUAUUUGUGGAA